This 423-nucleotide long non-coding RNA is filed under the name Salmo salar (Atlantic salmon). Its description in RNAcentral is "lncRNA (ENSSSAG00000091112.1, ENSSSAG00000100337.1)". The record is from RNAcentral. Lineage: Eukaryota; Metazoa; Chordata; Actinopteri; Salmoniformes; Salmonidae.
CCGGUACAGAGUCAAUGUGGAGGCUAUAUACAGGGGGUACCAGUACAGAGUCAAUGUGGAGGCUAUAUACAGGGGGUACCGGUACAGAGUCAAUGUGGAGGCUAUAUACAGGGGGGUACCGGUACAGAGUCAAUGUGGAGGCUAUAUACAGGGGGUACCGGUACAGAGUCAAUGUGGAGGCUAUAUACAGGGGGGUACCGGUACAGAGUCAAUGUGGAGGCUAUAUACAGGGGGUACUGGUACAGAGUCAAUGUGGAGGCUAUAUACAGGGGGUACCGGUACAGAGUCAAUGUGGAGGCUAUAUACAGGGGGUACCAGUACAGAGUCAAUAUGGAGGCUAUAUACAGGGGGUACCGGUACAGAGUCAAUGUGGAGGCUAUAUACAGGGGGUACCGGUACAGAGUCAAUGUGGAGGCUAUAUAC